CGAGGACCAUGGGCUAACUCUAAGUUAGUUAUAGGAAGCAAGAGAGACUGUUAGGUUUAGGUUUAGAUUAGGUUAGUUAGGUCAAUUUAGAUUAAGUUAUAUACGAUGACGUAUUUUAAGUUACAUAGAGUGUUAGACACUCUAACGUUGUUAGAUUUAAGGACUCGUAGAUAAGUAGCAGUAGGAAGUUUUUAAACUUAACUGAAAAUAAAUAUGUUCAAAUAGUAAUAGCGGUAGAACGACGUACUUGAAUAGGAUGAUCGAAAUUUGGGUCAGCUUUUGUACAUGAAAAUCUUCCCUUUAAAACGACGGGCGGUGCCCUUAGAACGGUCCUCAAUGGCUCGGCAUGAUAUCCUACCGCCAGAGACAAGUACAUUUGAACAGACAGUACUUGUCUCUGCUACCGCUACUGUAUAUGUCAACCUUUAUCUGCACGGCCUCUAUGCCCCCUUAGGUGGUCGUUUAGAAUUUAUUAGUUUCGUUAUUUACUUACGUCUUACA
This is a long non-coding RNA of Dendroctonus ponderosae (mountain pine beetle), 501 nucleotides long. RefSeq lists it as uncharacterized. Lineage: Eukaryota; Metazoa; Arthropoda; Insecta; Coleoptera; Curculionidae. The transcript is spliced from 2 exons. The record is from RefSeq and is a predicted model, not a curated record.